UGAUCAUGGCUCAGAUUGAACGCUGGCGGCAGGCCUAACACAUGCAAGUCGAACGGUAACAGGAAGCAGCUUGCUGCUUCGCUGACGAGUGGCGGACGGGUGAGUAAUGUCUGGGAAACUGCCUGAUGGAGGGGGAUAACUACUGGAAACGGUGGCUAAUACCGCAUAACGUCGCAAGACCAAAGAGGGGGACCUUCGGGCCUCUUGCCAUCAGAUGUGCCCAGAUGGGAUUAGCUAGUUGGUGAGGUAACGGCUCACCAAGGCGACGAUCCCUAGCUGGUCUGAGAGGAUGACCAGCCACACUGGAACUGAGACACGGUCCAGACUCCUACGGGAGGCAGCAGUGGGGAAUAUUGCACAAUGGGCGCAAGCCUGAUGCAGCCAUGCCGCGUGUAUGAAGAAGGCCUUCGGGUUGUAAAGUACUUUCAGCGGGGAGGAAGGUGUUGUGGUUAAUAACCGCAGCAAUUGACGUUACCCGCAGAAGAAGCACCGGCUAACUCCGUGCCAGCAGCCGCGGUAAUACGGAGGGUGCAAGCGUUAAUCGGAAUUACUGGGCGUAAAGCGCACGCAGGCGGUCUGUCAAGUCGGAUGUGAAAUCCCCGGGCUCAACCUGGGAACUGCAUUCGAAACUGGCAGGCUUGAGUCUUGUAGAGGGGGGUAGAAUUCCAGGUGUAGCGGUGAAAUGCGUAGAGAUCUGGAGGAAUACCGGUGGCGAAGGCGGCCCCCUGGACAAAGACUGACGCUCAGGUGCGAAAGCGUGGGGAGCAAACAGGAUUAGAUACCCUGGUAGUCCACGCCGUAAACGAUGUCUACUUGGAGGUUGUGCCCUUGAGGCGUGGCUUCCGGAGCUAACGCGUUAAGUAGACCGCCUGGGGAGUACGGCCGCAAGGUUAAAACUCAAAUGAAUUGACGGGGGCCCGCACAAGCGGUGGAGCAUGUGGUUUAAUUCGAUGCAACGCGAAGAACCUUACCUGGUCUUGACAUCCACAGAACUUUCCAGAGAUGGAUUGGUGCCUUCGGGAACUGUGAGACAGGUGCUGCAUGGCUGUCGUCAGCUCGUGUUGUGAAAUGUUGGGUUAAGUCCCGCAACGAGCGCAACCCUUAUCCUUUGUUGCCAGCGAUUAGGUCGGGAACUCAAAGGAGACUGCCAGUGAUAAACUGGAGGAAGGUGGGGAUGACGUCAAGUCAUCAUGGCCCUUACGACCAGGGCUACACACGUGCUACAAUGGCGCAUACAAAGAGAAGCGACCUCGCGAGAGCAAGCGGACCUCAUAAAGUGCGUCGUAGUCCGGAUUGGAGUCUGCAACUCGACUCCAUGAAGUCGGAAUCGCUAGUAAUCGUGGAUCAGAAUGCCACGGUGAAUACGUUCCCGGGCCUUGUACACACCGCCCGUCACACCAUGGGAGUGGGUUGCAAAAGAAGUAGGUAGCUUAACCUUCGGGAGGGCGCUUACCACUUUGUGAUUCAUGACUGGGGUGAAGUCGUAACAAGGUAACCGUAGGGGAACCUGCGGUUGGAUCACCUCCUUACCUUAAAGAAGC
RNAcentral lists this ribosomal RNA (1541 nucleotides) under Salmonella enterica subsp. enterica serovar Typhimurium. RNAcentral describes it as "bacterial SSU rRNA". It matches the Rfam family "Bacterial small subunit ribosomal RNA". Lineage: Bacteria; Pseudomonadati; Pseudomonadota; Gammaproteobacteria; Enterobacterales; Enterobacteriaceae. The record is from RNAcentral.